GGCCUGAUGGCAGAGUGGUUAUGCAACGGAUUGCAAAUCCGUGUACGCCGGUUCGAUUCCGACUCAGGCCUCCA
Molecule: transfer RNA, 74 nt
Filed under: Stenotrophomonas sp.
Lineage: Bacteria; Pseudomonadati; Pseudomonadota; Gammaproteobacteria; Lysobacterales; Lysobacteraceae
Also listed under: 2 other names
Description: tRNA-Cys
Rfam family: tRNA
About the family: Transfer RNA (tRNA) molecules are approximately 80 nucleotides in length.
Source: RNAcentral